UGGGUCGCGGCUGAGGUGGGCUCGGCCUCCGUCCCGAGGCACCGGAGCACCGAGCACUGGAGCACUAGAGCACGGAGUACAGACCACUGGAGUACCGGAGCACCGAGCACCCGACCCCCGGAGUACCGGAGCUCAGAGUACCGAGCACUGGAGCACCAGAGCACGGAGUACCGAGCACUGGAGUACUGGAGCACCGAGCACCCGAGCCCUGGAGCACCGGAGCUCGGAGUACCGAGCACUGGAGGACCAAAGGACGGAGUACCGAGCACUGGAGUACCGGAGCAUCGGGCACCCGAGCCCUGGAGCACUGAGCACUGGAGCAGCAGAACACGGUGUAUCGAGUACUGGAGUACCGGAGCACUGAGCACCCGAGCCCUAGAGCCCCGGAGCUCGGAGUACCGAGUACUGGAGCACCGGAGCACCGAAUACCGAGCACUGGAGUACCGGAGCACCAAGCACCCGAGCCCUGGAGUACCAGAGAUCGGAGUACCGAGCACUGAAGCACCGGAGCACCAGAGCACGGAGAACCGAGCACUGGAGCACAAGAACAGGGAAGCCCUGCCAGAGGAGACGCGUGGCUCCAGGACUGUCCCCGCUGAGCCCCGGCUCCCGGCCCCAUGUGGUGCAGGUGGCCCUCAGGUGUAGGUACACUUAAUGAAACAAAUGAAAGAAGAACAAGAAAAGGCCAGGAUGACAGAAUCUAGAAGAAACCGAGAGAUUGCACAGCUUAAAAAAAGACCAACGGAAGCAAGGCCAUCAACUCAGGCUUUGGAAGCUCAGAAAAGAAAUCAAGAAGUGCUUCUUUGACGUAAGAGCAAAGAGGUAUGGGAACAGAACUUCCAGUUACUUCCAGGAAAGCUGUGUGACUUUGGAGAGAAAUAGAAUGAUUUCAGAGAGAAGGCAAAUGAUGUAUUUUCCACACUGUUUCAAGUUACAGCUCUUCAGCAGCAAGUAAGGCCCAUGUCUAAUAAAGUAUCUGGGAAGGUUAGUCGAAAACUGAGUGACCCUGAUUCUCCUGCUCAAGACCUGAGUUCCACUGUAGCUGCCGGACUCCUCGAUUUGACUAAGGCUGGAUCCCCACAGAAAAUGAGAAUUCCUGUUGCAAGAGUGUAAGCAUUACCACCAACUGCAGCCUAUGGAACCUGGUAAAAUGUUUCCAAGGUGAUGUGAGAGCAUUUUCAUGCGAGGGUUGUUCUCCAAUGAGCCACUCAAUUUGAAACAUUUGUUGUGUGGGUGAUCCAUUCUAUAAGAAUUUCAAAUAAAAAUGUUUGUCAUAAAAAUGUUCACAGGAAGAAAUACCUGAAAACGGGAAUGACCGGUCGAGUGUUCAUGUCAGAAACUGUCUGGAUGAAGUAGGGUCACAGAUGUCAUUAUGCAGAGAAUGACAGUUUCCAAUAUGGAGAGUGAUAUGAGCAGUCUUCUAAAGAUAUGACUUAUCAGAUAUUUUACUGUUGCCCUUGCUCUAAAAAUAGACAUAUCAAUUCUAUCUGAUUUAAUACCCUAUUGCCAGAAAAAAAAAUUGUAUUUUGGAUAAUUCCAGACCUUUUAUUCCAAUUUCAGGGUCUCAAGGGGUCACUUUCCCCCUUUCAAAACCCUAGCUUGGGAAGUCAUUGAAAUCUUGUCUUGCAGAGUCCCUCAGAAAAAUAAAAGUCUAUUAUCUUUGUAUUGCCAUUUUCCUUUUGUAAUUUUAUUUACCAAUUUUUUUGGGGUGGAGGGAAAUAGCAAUGUGCAGAACUCACAAAAAGAAGAGAGAAACUUUCAAAAAGAAGAGAGUGAGCCAUCAAAAAGAAUGGAUAUGUGGAUAAAAAUAAGGAAAUGGAAUCACUAACUGCAAAUGUCGAUCACAUCAAUGGUAGUAUUUCAGAUUGUCAAGCCAGUAUCAUGCAGAUGGCAGAAGCAAAGGCUAGCACCGUCAGGAGGUCAUAAUCCUUAUCCUUGAAGAAGACUGAGUUUUUUGGGGUUUUUUAUUUUGUGAUUUUUUUUUUCACAAGUGCCCCCAACUGGGCCCUAAUUCAGGUUUCCCAGUCAGUAUUUUCCAGGCUCUGCCACUUGUCAGUUGUGUGACCUUGGACAAGUC
Ornithorhynchus anatinus (platypus) is the source of this 2077-nucleotide long non-coding RNA. RefSeq lists it as uncharacterized. The record is from RefSeq and is a predicted model, not a curated record. The transcript has 5 exons. NCBI's taxonomy places the organism in Eukaryota, Metazoa, Chordata, Mammalia, Monotremata, Ornithorhynchidae.